GGGGUGUUAGCUCAGCGGUAGAGUAAUUGACUGCAGAUCAAUAGGUCUUCGGUUCAAAUCCGGAACGCCCCU
This 72-nucleotide transfer RNA is filed under the name Neocallimastix californiae. It matches the Rfam family "tRNA". From Rfam's summary of the family: Transfer RNA (tRNA) molecules are approximately 80 nucleotides in length. RNAcentral also lists the same sequence under 1 other name. Lineage: Eukaryota; Fungi; Neocallimastigomycota; Neocallimastigomycetes; Neocallimastigales; Neocallimastigaceae. The record is from Rfam by way of RNAcentral.